CACGGAGUUAGCCGGUGCUUAUUCAUUAGGUACCUUCAGCUCCUUACACGUAAAGAGGUUUAUUCCCUAAUAAAAGCAGUUUACAACCCAUAGGGCAUUCUUCCUGCACGCGGCAUGGCUGGUUCAGGCUUGCGCCCAUUGACCAAUAUUCCUCACUGCUGCCUCCCGUAGGAGUCUGGUCCGUGUCUCAGUACCAGUGUGGGGGACCAUCCUCUCAGACCCCCUACCCAUCGUUGCCAUGGUGAGCCGUUACCUCACCAUCUAGCUAAUGGGACGCAUGCCCAUCCUGUUCCGUAACCUUUAAAUAUCAAAUCAUGCGAUCCAAUAGUACCAUGGGGUCUUAAUCCGAAUUUCUUCGGGCUAUCCCCCAGAACAGGGUAGGUUGCAUACGCGUUACUCACCCGUGCGCCGGUCGCCACCAAAUAAGCAAGCUUAUUUUAUGCUGCCCUCGACUUGCAUGUGUUAGGCCUGCCGCCAGCGUUCAUCCUGAGCCAGGAUCUAAA
Molecule: ribosomal RNA, 503 nt
Filed under: uncultured Fluviicola sp.
Lineage: Bacteria; Pseudomonadati; Bacteroidota; Flavobacteriia; Flavobacteriales; Crocinitomicaceae
Description: partial 16S ribosomal RNA
Source: RNAcentral